This 308-nucleotide long non-coding RNA is filed under the name Heterocephalus glaber (naked mole-rat). Its description in RNAcentral is "lncRNA (ENSHGLG00000031513.2)". The record is from RNAcentral. Lineage: Eukaryota; Metazoa; Chordata; Mammalia; Rodentia; Bathyergidae.
AGCGCGGCUGCGGCCGGGAGGGGGCCCAGCGGGUUGAGCGCACAAAGCCCGGCGCGGCGGCGCUGCUUCCCAUUCACCGCCGCCGGGCUCCUUCCACCCCGCGCUUCUCCAACGCCUCCGAGGCGGAUCGCCGGCGGCUCGCGGCCAGGCACAGGAAAUGACCUCAGCGGGCUCCAGCCUCCCACCUCUCUGUACCGCGGGACGCUCGCAGGAUGGGGGACACCACCAGAUCCUCCCCUGAAGAAGGUUCCAGCGUUUGUCCGCCACCUGUAAGAAGGUCUGCACAGUGGUAGAAUGGAGAUGUGAAG